Long non-coding RNA from Thalassophryne amazonica, 178 nucleotides. RefSeq lists it as uncharacterized. The transcript has 3 exons. Lineage: Eukaryota; Metazoa; Chordata; Actinopteri; Batrachoidiformes; Batrachoididae. The record is from RefSeq and is a predicted model, not a curated record.
UUUGUCUAUAUGACUGUAAAUUUUAGUUUCUGUGUAAUUCUUCACUGACCCCUAGCUGGCUACAGCCACCACCCUGUGAUGGCUAUCAUGCAUUUUUGUGCAGGCCAUGAUACACUGAGGCUGGAUUCUAAGUGUUGUUUGGUCACCUUCAGUGGUACCAAAAACCUGCUUCACCCAU